Molecule: long non-coding RNA, 556 nt
Filed under: Homo sapiens (human)
Lineage: Eukaryota; Metazoa; Chordata; Mammalia; Primates; Hominidae
Description: non-protein coding lnc-CYP3A7-2:9
Source: RNAcentral
GUGCAGGGCAGGGAAGCUCCAGGCAAACAGCCCAGCAAACAGCAGCACUCAGCUAAAAGGAAGACUCACAGAACACAGUUGAAGAAGGAAAGUGGCGAUGGACCUCAUCCCAAAUUUGGCGGUGGAAACCUGGCUUCUCCUGGCUGUCAGCCUGGUGCUCCUCUAUCUAUAUGGGACCCGUACACAUGGACUUUUUAAGAGACUGGGAAUUCCAGGGCCCACACCUCUGCCUUUGUUGGGAAAUGUUUUGUCCUAUCGUCAGGGUCUCUGGAAAUUUGACACAGAGUGCUAUAAAAAGUAUGGAAAAAUGUGGGGAGCUCUUUUGUCUUUCAAUAUCUCUUCCCUGUUUGGACCACAUUACCCUUCAUCAUAUGAAGCCUUGGGUGGCUCCUGUGUGAGACUCUUGCUGUGUGUCACACCCUAAUGAACUAGAACCUAAGGUUGCUGUGUGUCGUACAACUAGGGAACGUAUGAAGGUCAACUCCCUGUGCUGGCCAUCACAGAUCCCGACGUGAUCAGAACAGUGCUAGUGAAAGAAUGUUAUUCUGUCUUCACA